ACCCCAAUUAGUUAAAAGAGCAAAACACUGACUCCUCAUGCCUUACCUGUGACCGUGCUACCGCACGCACGUGAGAAACAGGAUCUGUUUUCCUGGAGAACUGGAGCUGAGAAGAGCACUUAAAAAAAGAAAAUAAAUGUGCUUUU
Thalassophryne amazonica is the source of this 146-nucleotide long non-coding RNA. RefSeq lists it as uncharacterized. The record is from RefSeq and is a predicted model, not a curated record. The transcript is spliced from 3 exons. NCBI's taxonomy places the organism in Eukaryota, Metazoa, Chordata, Actinopteri, Batrachoidiformes, Batrachoididae.